RNAcentral lists this unclassified non-coding RNA (1135 nucleotides) under Hevea brasiliensis (rubber tree). The record is from RNAcentral. Lineage: Eukaryota; Viridiplantae; Streptophyta; Magnoliopsida; Malpighiales; Euphorbiaceae.
GGAACAUCGGCCCAAGAACACGUGUCGCUAAUGCUAAUCAUGAAUUGGAGGGCCUAAAAUCGGAGAGUCCAUUGUUAGUUUGACGAUGAAUACAUAGUGUAUCAUUCAUCCAUUCAUCUGACUGAAGAGGAAGCUGAGGCUGAAGCUUAGAAAUUAUCGAUCCCUCACCGUCGCCUAGUUUAAUUUAUAGUUAGUUCGACCAACCCUAACCCUCUUAACUUUUCCACUGCACUCACUCUCUACUCUCUUUCGACGAUAACAAUGACAGCUCUCUCAAAUUCUUUGGUUCUAACGACAAAUCCUGGGGUUCAGUUAUCUCCUGGCCCAUUGGAUAAAUGUCUCCAGAGUUCCAUGCUCACCAAUUUGUCAUUGGAUAAAUGUCUCCAGAGUUCCAUGCUCACCAAUUUGUCAUUCAGUUUGAAUUGUUCAGGAAAACUGCAACUUACUACCUCCAGAAGGGCAUUCACAGUUAAAGCAGCAAAUAGUGACACUGGAAGGCCAAGCAGUGCUGGUAUCUUUGUUGGUGGCUUUGUUUUGGGAGGACUUAUAGUUGGUGCACUUGGAUGCGUAUAUGCACCUCAGAUUAGCAAGGCAUUAACUGGAACUGACCGAAAAGAUCUUAUGAGGAAACUCCCUAAAUUCAUAUAUGAUGAAGAAAAGGCUCUGGAGAAAACCCGAAAGAUAUUAACUGAGAAGAUUGCACAACUGAACUCUGCUAUUGAUGAUGUUUCUGCUCAGCUUCGAUCAGAAGAUACCCCAAAUGGAGUGGCAGUUAAUUCUGAUGAAAUUGAAGCUGCUAUAUGAGAUGGACACUGUACGUGUUACCGAGUAGAUCAUCUCACCCACUUGUAAUCUUAUGGCUAUAAAUAAUAGCUGAAGCCUGAACUGAUUGCGAUGUCUUCUUCUUCUUCUUCUUCUUAACCGAGCAGUGUGGUUGUUUGUUUAAUUGUUUGUGGAGUCUCAAGUGGGUACAUAUAUCAUGACUUGUAUGAUGCAUCAUUUGGACCUUACUUUCAUAUAAGCUGUGAUUUUGGUGCCCCUGGAUUGCGUGUAUUAUGAAACGCGGAAGACGUUUAUCCAAAUAUUUGAAUUAAGUUAUUUAAAAAUAAUAAAAACAACAACAACAACUCUGAAG